CUGAGAAUUCUCGACAGUGGGCA
RNAcentral lists this non-coding RNA (23 nucleotides) under Rattus norvegicus (Norway rat). The record is from RNAcentral. Lineage: Eukaryota; Metazoa; Chordata; Mammalia; Rodentia; Muridae.